GGCUCCACCCCCACGGACCUAGGUGAGGACAGGCACUCCUGCUUUCGCUCCCAAAUGUUGCAUUUUCCAAGACCACCCUGUCCCGUCAUGCCCUCAUCCUGGGCCUAUAAAAACCAGAGACCCUAGCGGGCACACAGGCAGCCAGAUAUUGAGAGGAACACUUUGGCGGAAGAAGACACGAGUGGCUGGUCGAGAGCACGCUGGAGGAAGAGCCCACCGACAGACGUCAGCAUGCUGGCACACCAUCAACAGGCCUGGCAGAUAUUCGUAAACCACAAUCCUUGCAUCAGGAAUCCUACAGGCUAGUGUGAAGUGAGACAGAUAAACAGAUAAUGUUAUUUGUUUGGCAGUAACACCUAACCACAACGGGCACAUCGGAGUUGAACUUGGUGCUUCUGAGAAGCUAAUUUUAAGUUCCUGUGCAUGGUCUGAACAUUUGCCGGGCCCUAAAACUGCAUCUCAAUAUUGGCAGCCCCUUCCAAGUCUCCGGAAGGUAUUUUGAUUCAAAGGAAGCUCUGUUUGGACCGGAUGGUCUGGUGCUGGCCAUUUUCAUUGCACAGUGAGGCAUAAACUGUGCUAAGAGACUCGGGACAGACUGAGCAGUGAUGAGAGCACCAGCAGGGCCAGAGCACUGCAGACCCCCUUCAAGAUGAAAGCAAGAGAAUUUGAAAAGUCUAGAAAGAAGCUAUUUUGCAUUUAUCAGAAAACUGAGACUGGAAGAGGUGAAGUGACUUGACUGGGACCACAGAUUCCUAAGUGGCAGGAUGAAAUUCCAACCGAGUUCUGCUUGACUCCAAAGUCUGUGUUCUUUCUACUUCCCCACCCUGCUGCCCAGGAUCUAAAAGGUUCCUCUGCCCAUAUUCACCUGGGAGUACCUGCUCAUCUUCUGAGGUUCAGCUUAUCUGUAAUCCCAUUCCUGAACCCCCUCUUCUUCCCCACUGGUAGAACUGGCCUCUUCCUUCAUUGUGUCUCCACUAGAGCUUACAAAGUUUAUACUUUUAGUAUCUGUAGCACCAAUUAAACUUUUCUGUUUAAUUGUCUGUCUUUUGGAUGAAACCUUGAACUCCUCAAGAGGAGGGACUGAUUACCAGUCUCUGCGGCUUUGAACUGGGCUGAUGCAGA
Molecule: long non-coding RNA, 1122 nt
Filed under: Homo sapiens (human)
Lineage: Eukaryota; Metazoa; Chordata; Mammalia; Primates; Hominidae
Description: HSALNT0178759
Source: RNAcentral